This 260-nucleotide ribosomal RNA is filed under the name uncultured Actinomycetes bacterium. RNAcentral's name for it is "uncultured actinobacterium partial 23S ribosomal RNA". It matches the Rfam family "Bacterial large subunit ribosomal RNA", at positions 1402 to 1663 of the family's 2925-position model. The record is from RNAcentral. Lineage: Bacteria; Bacillati; Actinomycetota; Actinomycetes.
CCGAAAGGCGUAGUCGAUGGGAAAUUGGUUAAUAUUCCAAUACUUCUGUGUAAUGCGAUGAGAGGACGGAGAAAGUUAAGUCAGCCUGGCGUUGGUUGUCCAGGUGAAAGGUUGUAGGCAUGCAUCUUAGGCAAAUCCGGGGUGCUCUAUGCUGAGAACUGAUAGCAAGCGAGUUUACUCGUGAAGUGGCUGAUACUAUGCUUCCAGGAAAAGUCUCUAAGCUUCAGUUACACAGGAAUCGUACCCCAAACCGACACAGG